Molecule: ribosomal RNA, 497 nt
Filed under: uncultured bacterium
Lineage: Bacteria
Description: partial 16S ribosomal RNA
Rfam family: Bacterial small subunit ribosomal RNA
Source: RNAcentral
GAUGAACGCUGGCGGCGUGCCUAAUACAUGCAAGUCGAGCGAACAGACGAGGAGCUUGCUCCUCUGACGUUAGCGGCGGACGGGUGAGUAACACGUGGAUAACCUACCUAUAAGACUGGGAUAACUUCGGGAAACCGGCGCUUAUACCGUAUAAUAUAUUGCACCGCAUGGUUCAAUAGUGAAAGACGGUUUUGCUGUCACUUAUAGAUGGAUCCGCGCCGCAUUAGCUAGUUGGUAAGGUAACGGCUUACCAAGGCAACGAUGCGUAGCCGACCUGAGAGGGGGGUCGCCGACACUGGAACGGGGACAGCGUCCAUGCGCCUACGGGAGGCAGCAGUAGGGAAUCUGCCGCAAUGGGCGAAAGCCUGACAGAGCAACGCCGCGUGAGUGAUGAAGGUCUUCGGAUCGUAAAACUCUGUUAUUAGUGAAGAACAAAUGUGUAAGUAACUAUGCACGUCGUGACGGUACCUAAUCAGAAAGCCACGGCUAACUACGUG